This 484-nucleotide ribosomal RNA is filed under the name uncultured bacterium. RNAcentral's name for it is "partial 16S ribosomal RNA". It matches the Rfam family "Bacterial small subunit ribosomal RNA", at positions 30 to 507 of the family's 1533-position model. The record is from RNAcentral.
AUUGAACGCUGGCGGCAGGCCUAACACAUGCAAGUCGAGCGGACAAAGGAGGCUUUCUCCUGGCUUCCGCGGCGGACGGGCGGGUAAUGCCUAGGAAUCUGCCUUGUAGUGGGGGAUGACAUCCGGUAACGGGCGCUAAUACCGCAUCCGUCCUGAGGUUGAACGGUAGGGAUCUUCGGACCUAAAGCGCUCUGCUGAGACUAGGACGGAUUUGCUAGUUGGUGGGGUAAGUGCGUACCAAGGCGACGAUCCGUAACUGGUCUGAGAGGAUGAUCGGUCACACUGGAACUGAGACACGGUCCAGACUCCUACGGGAGGCAGCAGUAGGGAAUAUUGGACAAUGGGCGAAAGCCUGAUCCAGCAACGCCGCGUGUGUGAAGAAGGUCUUCGGAUCGUAAAGCUCUUUUAGUUGGGAGGAACGGAAGUAUGUGAAUCCCUGCAUGUCUUGACGUUACCAACAGAAAAAGCACCGGCUAACUUCGUG